GAGUAAUGUCUGGGAAACUGCCUGAUGGAGGGGGAUAACUACUGGAAACGGUGGCUAAUACCGCAUAACGUCGCAAGACCAAAGAGGGGGACCUUCGGGCCUCUUGCCAUCAGAUGUGCCCAGAUGGGAUUAGCUUGUUGGUGAGGUAACGGCUCACCAAGGCGACGAUCCCUAGCUGGUCUGAGAGGAUGACCAGCCACACUGGAACUGAGACACGGUCCAGACUCCUACGGGAGGCAGCAGUGGGGAAUAUUGCACAAUGGGCGCAAGCCUGAUGCAGCCAUGCCGCGUGUAUGAAGAAGGCCUUCGGGUUGUAAAGUACUUUCAGCGGGGAGGAAGGUGUUGUGGUUAAUAACCGCAGCAAUUGACGUUACCCGCAGAAGAAGCACCGGCUAACUCCGUGCCAGCAGCCGCGGUAAUACGGAGGGUGCAAGCGUUAAUCGGAAUUACUGGGCGUAAAGCGCACGCAGGCGGUCUGUCAAGUCGGAUGUGAAAUCCCCGGGCUCAACCUGGGAACUGCAUUCGAAACUGGCAGGCUUGAGUCUUGUAG
Molecule: ribosomal RNA, 550 nt
Filed under: Salmonella enterica subsp. enterica serovar Paratyphi B
Lineage: Bacteria; Pseudomonadati; Pseudomonadota; Gammaproteobacteria; Enterobacterales; Enterobacteriaceae
Description: bacterial SSU rRNA
Rfam family: Bacterial small subunit ribosomal RNA
Source: RNAcentral